GCCUCGCGGCCUAUCAGCUAGUUGGUGGGGUAAUGGCCCACCAAGGCGACGACGGGUAGCUGGUCUGAGAGGAUGGCCAGCCACAUUGGGACUGAGACACGGCCCAGACUCCUACGGGAGGCAGCAGUGGGGAAUAUUGGACAAUGGGCGAAAGCCUGAUCCAGCAAUGCCGCGUGGGUGAAGAAGGUUUUCGGAUUGUAAAGCCCUUUCGGCGGGGACGAUGAUGACGGUACCCGCAGAAGAAGCCCCGGCUAACUUCGUGCCAGCAGCCGCGGUAAUACGAAGGGGGCUAGCGUUGCUCGGAAUGACUGGGCGUAAAGUGCGCGUAGGCGGCUCAUACAGUCAGAUGUGAAAUUCCUGGGCUUAACCUGGGGGCUGCAUUUGAUACGUGUGGGCUUGAGUGGGGAAGAGGGUCGUGGAAUUCCCAGUGUAGAGGUGAAAUUCGUAGAUAUUGGGAAGAACACCGGUGGCGAAGGCGGCGACCUGGUCCUUGACUGACGCUGAGGCGCGAAAGCGUGGGGAGCAACCAGGAUUAGAUACCCUGGUAGUCCACGCCGUAAACGAUGUGCGCUGGAUGUUGGGCGGCUUAGCCGUUCAGUGUCGGAGUUAACGCGUUAAGCGCACCGCCUGGGGAGUACGGCCGCAAGGUUGAA
Molecule: ribosomal RNA, 653 nt
Filed under: uncultured bacterium
Lineage: Bacteria
Description: bacterial SSU rRNA
Rfam family: Bacterial small subunit ribosomal RNA
Source: RNAcentral